GCAAGUCUGGUGCCAGCAGCCGCGGUAAUUCCAGCUCCAAUAGCGUAUAUUAAAGUUGUUGCAGUUAAAAAGCUCGUAGUUGAACUUUGGGCCUGGGCGGGCGGUCUACCUAUGGUAAGUACUGUUGCGGCCGGGUCUUUUCCUUCUGGCUAACUCUUCGGAGUGAACCAGGGCGAUUACUUUGAGGAAAUUAGAGUGUUCAAAGCAGGCCUUUGCUCGGAUAUAUUAGCAUGGAAUAAUAGAAUAGGACGUUAUGGUUCUAUUUUGUUGGUUUCUAGGACCAUCGUAAUGAUUAAUAGGGACGGUCGGGGGCAUCAGUAUUCAGUUGUCAGAGGUGAAAUUCUUGGAUUAACUGAAGACUAACUACUGCGAAAGCAUUUGCCAAA
This 386-nucleotide ribosomal RNA is filed under the name Pichia kluyveri. RNAcentral's name for it is "SSU rRNA". It matches the Rfam family "Eukaryotic small subunit ribosomal RNA", at positions 555 to 962 of the family's 1831-position model. RNAcentral also lists the same sequence under 1 other name. The record is from RNAcentral. Lineage: Eukaryota; Fungi; Ascomycota; Pichiomycetes; Pichiales; Pichiaceae.